CGGCGGACGGGUGAGUAACACGUGGGUAACCUGCCUGUAAGACUGGGAUAACUCCGGGAAACCGGGGCUAAUACCGGAUGCUUGAUUGAACCGCAUGGUUCAAUCAUAAAAGGUGGCUUUCAGCUACCACUUGCAGAUGGACCCGCGGCGCAUUAGCUAGUUGGUGAGGUAACGGCUCACCAAGGCGACGAUGCGUAGCCGACCUGAGAGGGUGAUCGGCCACACUGGGACUGAGACACGGCCCAGACUCCUACGGGAGGCAGCAGUGGUCAUAG
RNAcentral lists this ribosomal RNA (275 nucleotides) under Bacillus sp. CM4.1. RNAcentral describes it as "partial 16S ribosomal RNA". It matches the Rfam family "Bacterial small subunit ribosomal RNA", at positions 96 to 357 of the family's 1533-position model. The record is from RNAcentral. Lineage: Bacteria; Bacillati; Bacillota; Bacilli; Caryophanales; Bacillaceae.